AGAGCGAACGCUGGCGGCAGGCCUAAUACAUGCAAGUCGAACGGACCCUUCGGGGUUAGUGGCGGACGGGUGAGUAACACGUGGGAACGUGCCCUUUGGUUCGGAACAACUCAGGGAAACUUGAGCUAAUACCGAAUGUGCCCCCUCCUUUGAUUAGGGGGGUGGGAAAGAUUUAUCGCCAUUGGAGCGGCCCGCGUCUGAUUAGCUAGUUGGUGAGGUAACGGCUCACCAAGGCUUCGACGGGUAGCUGGUCUGAGAGGACGAUCAGCCACACUGGGACUGAGACACGGCCCAGACACCUACGGGUGGCAGCAGUCGAGAAUUUUCACAAUGGGCGAAAGUCUGAUGGAGCGACGCCGCGUGGAGGAUGAAGGUUUUCGGAUUGUAAACUCCUGUCACUGCAGAACAAGGAUGUAAUCGUUAAACAGCGAUCGCAUUUGAUGGUAUGUCGGAGAGGGAAGGGACGGCUAACUCUGUGCCAGCAGCCGCGGUAA
RNAcentral lists this ribosomal RNA (494 nucleotides) under uncultured bacterium. Its description in RNAcentral is "SSU rRNA". It matches the Rfam family "Bacterial small subunit ribosomal RNA", at positions 26 to 523 of the family's 1533-position model. The record is from RNAcentral.